RNAcentral lists this ribosomal RNA (253 nucleotides) under uncultured bacterium. Its description in RNAcentral is "partial 16S ribosomal RNA". It matches the Rfam family "Bacterial small subunit ribosomal RNA", at positions 524 to 776 of the family's 1533-position model. The record is from RNAcentral.
UACGGAGGACCCGAGCGUUAUCCGGAUUUAUUGGGUUUAAAGGGUGCGUAGGCGGCCUAUUAAGUCAGGGGUGAAAGACGGUAGCUUAACUAUCGCAGUGCCUUUGAUACUGAUAGGCUUGAAUGUACUUGAGGUAGGCGGAAUGUGACAAGUAGCGGUGAAAUGCAUAGAUAUGUCACAGAACACCAAUUGCGAAGGCAGCUUACUAAAGUAUGAUUGACGCUGAGGCACGAAAGCGUGGGGAUCAAACAGG